This 361-nucleotide unclassified non-coding RNA is filed under the name Hevea brasiliensis (rubber tree). Lineage: Eukaryota; Viridiplantae; Streptophyta; Magnoliopsida; Malpighiales; Euphorbiaceae. The record is from RNAcentral.
GGAUAGUUGACAUUUCUGAAUGGAACCCAUCUCCCAAUUACUUCUCUUUUGCUAUGUCCUUUCUUCCCCAACAUGAACACUCCUCCAUUACCAGGUUCUUUCAAAUGGAAGAUCGAAAACGGGCUCUUGUGAGCAGAUUGUUGCAGUAUGCACUGAUACAUCAAGUCUUGGGGAUCCCAUACAACGGAAUUGUCAUCAGGCGCACUGCUGAGGGGAAACCAUACCUGUUAUGUUUAGAACGUAGUCAGGAAUGUGACAAACUGAACUUGGAGUUUCCAAAUUUUAACUUCAAUGCAUCACAUCAUGGUGAUUUUGUGGCUAUUGCUUCUGAACCAAUAUGUCUUGUGGGAUUGGAUGUUGU